This 1040-nucleotide long non-coding RNA is filed under the name Equus asinus (donkey). RNAcentral's name for it is "lncRNA (ENSEASG00005037893.1)". The record is from RNAcentral. Lineage: Eukaryota; Metazoa; Chordata; Mammalia; Perissodactyla; Equidae.
GGGAGGGGCUGGAAGGGAGGGGAGGUGUUUCGCGCUCUGCCCACGCCUCCAGGGUCCCCAAUGGGACUGCUGGGGUGGAGCUCUGAGUUGUCCUGGCAACUGCACAGCCCGGAGCAAGGAACCCUCUGAUGCUCCAGCGACUCCAUGUCACCCUUGUGGUGUUAAAUUAUUGUUUAAGGAGGAUAGAAGGUGAAUUAUGUGAGUAAAUACAGUCUGUUUUCUCUUCAGCCAAAAUGACGACUAUUUUUGUGUAUGACUAAUUUAUUUUUAUUACUGUAAAAAUACAAUAAACUGGUUAAAAGAUCAGCUUUGUUAACCCAUUUGUGCUUUCUCGGGCCUUAUUCCGUUCCUACUCAUGUUGCUUCAGACAGCCCCCUCUGACAAGAAGAAUGGAGCGCUCCCGGGGGCAGUCGGCUCUGGGCUUCUGGGGCGCUGGGCCGCUCAGAACAGGAAGUGCCCUGGACACGGCGGACUUCAACCCGCUGGUUUAGGCUGGUCCUCAGCAUCAGCUGUAUGUGAGAGUCACCUGAGGAGCUUCAGAUAGAAGAUUCAGGAAUGUGCACCGCCCUCGGGAUUGCGCUGGAAAAUAACCAUCUUGGAAAUGUGCCAUAAUUUAUUCAAUUUUGAAAAUACACUCAACUCUUUCCAAUGCAUUGUGACUGAAAACAACAUCUUGGUACAUCAUGGUGUGGCUCGUGUAAGAAAUUCUAUUAAAGAGCGCGUCUUCCAAACCCCUUUGGAGAGAAGAGGGAGCAGGAGCGGCAUGUUGGAAGGCUGCGUUUGGGGAAGGAGCACGCCUUGUUCAGGGUCCAGGAGACGUCUGCGGCCAGAGCAUGGAGCAGGGGCAGGAGUGCGGCCAGUCCACACAGGACCCCCCACCCCCACCCCAGAAACAUCAUGUCUUAGGGAAAAUUGCUUUGAGCAGAUGCGUUUUCUAAAAUGUCAUUCUAAAGGACAUAUCCUUCAUUUCUGUGGAGAAGCACUGGAUAUUCGUUACCUCAAUUUAGGAUUUCAUCAAAUUAAUAAAUGCAGCUAAUAAA